Molecule: long non-coding RNA, 412 nt
Organism: Chinchilla lanigera (long-tailed chinchilla)
Lineage: Eukaryota; Metazoa; Chordata; Mammalia; Rodentia; Chinchillidae
Exons: 3
Source: RefSeq, a predicted model, not a curated record
GUUGGGCCUCCAACUGACACACCCCUAAGUUCCUGGGUGCUCCCUGGACCGUCACAGCCGCCGAACGUCGGGGCGUGGCCACGGGAGCUGCAGGGUGGCCUCCAGCACCGCCGCGCCCUGGAUCUACUCGCUGCAGGAAAAUGGAGCUACCUGCGUCUUCCUCAGAGAGGAACGCUGUUUCUACGUCAGCAGGAUGCCCUGCAGCUAGUCACACCUGAAGAAGUCCUGAGAAACUGCACCCCGUACCCCUGUUCUUUCUCUGUAACACAGCACACAGGGAUGUCAGGUCUCCGAACAAGACCCCUGCCCACCUAGGAGAGAAAAACCUCUGUCUGCCUCGGUGGUCUCAACUGAGCAGGAGAGAUUUUAGUGAAGAAAAGAAAGAAUGAAGAAAGUAAAAAAAAAAAAAAAA